CACAAACAAUAAAGCACUUGAGGUUUUUCUGUGCUAUGCACAGUUUUUUACAAUGUGUCAAAUAUAUCAAACCCCAAAUCUGAAUGUGUUUUAUUUGUAUUUUAUGUGAUAAACUAACACAAACUACAACAUAUUUUUGUAGUAUAAGAAAAGAUGAAAAUGUUUUCAGGAUUUUCUUUAUUUUACAAAUAAUCUUAGAAGUGUGGUGUGUAAUUGUAUUUGGUAAAUUGUAAUUGUAUUUAAAUAAAAUCCAGGGCCUUCAGAAGUGACCUCAGUUGUAAACAGCUGUAAUUGCAGUGACAGAUGGUUCUACUCAGAGUAAGGCAGGGCAAUAAAAGGCAUGAAAAUAAAUCUGCUGACUUUUUCAUACUACAUCUUUUUCGAUUUUAACGGAUUUCUUUCUUGCUUUUUUCCUCCAAAAAAUUACAAAUAACAGAAAACAUUUUAGAAGUGCCUUUUAUUUCAAUCAUUCCCUUGUACAACAGUUUCUUCAUGAGAGUAUAGUCAUAAUAUUAGCAAAACACAGAUGCAAUUUUACCAGAAGAAAAUCUUAAAAUUAUGAGGAAUAAGUUAUUUUAAUGAUAAAAAGCUUGGAUAACUAAUUUGUUUUGUGUUGGAGUUCUAAUAAAUUUACUACUUCAUUCUCAUAAUAUUCUGACUAUAUUCUUGUAAGAUUAUGACUUCACUCUCGUUAUUACAAAAAAUAUCUUAGCCUGACAUCACUCCAAACUAUGAAAACCCAAGGAGAUCAGUGGUGAAAAAGAAAUUCAGAUUUAACUAACCUUCAAAAAAAAAACUUUGAAAAACAUACAUGACAUUUCCAAGCACUUCACAAUCAUGCUUUUUGUGUUGGUCUAUGAAAUAAAAUC
Molecule: long non-coding RNA, 869 nt
Organism: Xiphophorus couchianus (Monterrey platyfish)
Lineage: Eukaryota; Metazoa; Chordata; Actinopteri; Cyprinodontiformes; Poeciliidae
Exons: 2
Source: RefSeq, a predicted model, not a curated record